CAUUAGAGACAAAUGGUGGAUGCAAAUGAACUAUAAGAGAGGUGGCAAAACAGAGCCUAUUAAAACCAAAAAUACAAACAUCUCAUUUUCUCUCAUCCAAUUUUAUGUCUCUCAAGCUCAUAUAUUUCUCUCUCUCAAAUGAAACAGCCACCCAAAUAUUCCCAUUAGGGUUCUAAGUGUUUUUCAUCUUGUUUCCUCCAAAGCAGCCACAAGAUCACCUUCUCUCCUCCAUGGAUUUGAGUAUAUUAGAUAGUUCUUCAAAGAGAGAGAAGUAGAGAGGGAUAAAGGUGUUGGCAGGCAAGGUACAAGUACUCAAGCUAAUAGAACCUCUCCAAUAUAAGCAAAUGAUACUCAAUGGCCUUUGGUGAGCUCCAUGUUGAUUUGGGGCUUUGUUGAGUCUCUAACAUAUUUGAUAUUAUAUUAUAGUUAAGGGUAUGACGGGGGUCCUGUCCCGAUCUAAGCUAAGUGUCUAUAUUUUAGAGGCUUUGUAAACUAAUUUCAAAGUAAAGCACAAUUAUGUCUUGUUUUUCAGUAAUUAAGGCCUCAACGGCCAAGCAUGUACAUUUGUUUUUGCCUAUCUAUGUUGGUCUUUUAUUAGGGUA
Solanum dulcamara is the source of this 602-nucleotide long non-coding RNA. RefSeq lists it as uncharacterized. Lineage: Eukaryota; Viridiplantae; Streptophyta; Magnoliopsida; Solanales; Solanaceae. The transcript has 2 exons. The record is from RefSeq and is a predicted model, not a curated record.